GACGAACGCUGGCGGCGUGCCUAAUACAUGCAAGUCGAGCGCAGGAAAUCAUCCGAACCCUUCGGGGGGACGUUGAUGGAAUGAGCGGCGGACGGGUGAGUAACACGUAAAGAACCUGCCCUCAGGUCUGGGAUAACCACGAGAAAUCGGGGCUAAUACCGGAUGGGUCAUCGGACCGCAUGGUCCGAGGAUGAAAGGCGCUUCGGCGUCGCCUGGGGAUGGCUUUGCGGUGCAUUAGCUAGUUGGUGGGGUAAUGGCCCACCAAGGCGACGAUGCAUAGCCGACCUGAGAGGGUGAUCGGCCACACUGGGACUGAGACACGGCCCAGACUCCUACGGGAGGCAGCAGUAGGGAAUCUUCGGCAAUGGGCGAAAGCCUGACCGAGCAACGCCGCGUGAAUGAUGAAGGCCUUCGGGUUGUAAAAUUCUGUUAUAAGGGAAGAACGACUUUAGUAGGAAAUGGCUAGAGUGUGACGGUACCUUAUGAGAAAGCCACGGCUAACUACGUGCCAGCAGCCGCGGUAA
This 524-nucleotide ribosomal RNA is filed under the name uncultured bacterium. Its description in RNAcentral is "partial 16S ribosomal RNA". It matches the Rfam family "Bacterial small subunit ribosomal RNA", at positions 28 to 523 of the family's 1533-position model. The record is from RNAcentral.